AACGAACGCUGGCGGCAGGCCUAACACAUGCAAGUCGAGCGCACCUUCGGGUGAGCGGCGGACGGGUGAGUAACGCGUGGGAAUAUGCCCUUCUCUACGGAAUAGUCUCGGGAAACUGGGGGUAAUACCGUAUACGCCCUAUUGGGGAAAGAUUUAUCGGAGAAGGAUUAGCCCGCGUUGGAUUAGGUAGUUGGUGGGGUAAUGGCCUACCAAGCCGACGAUCCAUAGCUGGUUUGAGAGGAUGAUCAGCCACACUGGGACUGAGACACGGCCCAGACUCCUACGGGAGGCAGCAGUGGGGAAUCUUAGACAAUGGGGGCAACCCCGAUCUAGCCAUGCCGCGUGAGUGAUGAAGGCCUUAGGGUUGUAAAGCUCUUUCAGCUGGGAAGAUAAUGACGGUACCAGCGGAAGAAGCCCCGGCUAACUCCGUGCCAGCAGCCGCCGUAA
This 447-nucleotide ribosomal RNA is filed under the name uncultured bacterium. RNAcentral's name for it is "partial 16S ribosomal RNA". It matches the Rfam family "Bacterial small subunit ribosomal RNA", at positions 29 to 523 of the family's 1533-position model. The record is from RNAcentral.